GAUGGAUUGCCGCCGGGUAAGAGCGUUAAAUUUUGUAUCGUUAGGCCGAAGCAGAUACAAAACUUAACGCUCUUUUUCU
This 79-nucleotide non-coding RNA is filed under the name unclassified sequences. The record is from RNAcentral.